CUAACAGCGCGCACCGGAGAACAAUACGCUCACGUCACCUCCCGAUCCUCCGACGCCCGCCUAGGGCGCUUCCACUUUCGCGCGGCGUACGUGUGUGCAUAUAUAUAUAUACGUGUGUGUGUGUACGUGCACGAGAUUUCUCCAGAAGACCCCUAAUUGACAUCUGUGCAUCUCAUUCCCGACAACGUGCACACGGAGAGUGCAGUGGGAUUCGCUCGUAGGCAAUCCAGCACACUGACUCUCUCACCCAUCGCGUGUGUCUUCACCGGCGCCCGCGAUGCAAACGAUUGGAGGCCGCGUGCCGGAUGUGGCGCCGUUAUCUGAGAUGGGAAGCAGCGGAAAUGGCCUCGGCACCGAGCUGGGUGCAACAGUCGCUUCGCCCCACCGCGGCAGCAGCGCCAGCGCCGCUUCCACAGCCGCAAAUGCGCAGCAGAAGCUUGUGCAGGAGUUGCAGGCGAUUCGCGAAAGACGUAACUGGCUCAUCCACCUACUUUACGUCCGACAGGAGUACAGCAACUGCUUGCAGGUAAUCGAGGCACAGCUUCGCGAGACGGGGGGCACGUGCGAGUACGCCCUGUACGUGAAGGGGUUACUAAAACGUCUGGAGGGCUCUCUCUCCGAGUCGUUGGAGCUGCUGCAGACCGCCGUGAUUAUCAGCCCAGAGAACGCGGCGACCCGCACACAGCUCGGGCGUGCGCUGCACCUCCUUGGCCGCCACGAGGAGGCCAUUCAAGCAUUUCAGGAGGCAGCGAGCAUUCGCGUCGUGAAGGGCCUCGGCGCGGACUGGGAGAUCGAGUACUACAUCGGUCUCUGCCACCUGCACCGACGCCACUACCGUCGCGCCAUGGAUGCCUUUCUGCAGUCCAUCACAAUUCAACGCCACGACUGCGCUUACUUGCAGCUGGGGAAAGCGGCACUGCUGGCGCAUGACUACGCGACUGCGCUUCAGGUGUACGAGGAGGCCGUGACGCUGUCGCCGACAAAUCCCGACCUGCUUGCGGUGCUGGGCCACCUCUACCUUCAGCAAGGCAACCCCUGCGCUGCCUUCGACUACUUGGGCCGCUGUCUGACCAUCUGCCCCACCCACAUCGAUGCCCUUGUCGCCGCCUCGAGCAUCAUCCAAGACAGCGGCGACUACGACGUGGCACUGAGCAAGUACCGGAUCGUGGUGGCGCAGCAGCCGGACUCGUCACAGGUGUGGAACAACAUAGGCGCCUGCUUUAUUGGCAAGAAAAUGACGUACGCAGCCGUCGCGUGUCUGCGCAAAUCCGUCUUCCUCUGCCCGCUUGAUUGGAUCGGCCACUACAACCUGGGCGUCGCGUUUCUAAUGAUCGGCCGCUACUGCUCUGCUCUGCAGUGCCUGAACGCGGCUGUGCACCUGCAUGCUGACCACGCACCGGCCUUUAUGCUGCUCGGUAUCUGUCUGGGUGAGAUGAAAGAUCUGCCGAAUGCGUGUCGCGCCUACGAGCACGCCCUCGCGAUGCAGGACGACUUCCUUGUCUAUCUGAACUAUGCGGUGACGUUGUACAAGGGCCGCUCCGUGCAAGAAGCGUAUACAAAGUUCCGCGUCUUCCGCAGCGUAUGGGACCAGCUUACACCCGAGCAGCGCCGCGAGCAGUCCUCGCUCAUUCCUGGAGUCAUCCGACAGUUGGAGGACUUGCUGGAGCCGCCCCCGGAGCCGCCGAUGUCCACCUCCGACCCUGUGCCGGAGGAAAGCGCUGCGGCUGCGUUGGCCACGGCACCGAAUCCCGAGUCGCUGCCGUAGGAGCAGUCGAAGGCGUGGAGAAGAAGUGCCGUACGCGGUUGUGCAGCGGCGCAUGCCCAUUUUUUCUUGCGUUUAGGGGAGAGAGGAAGAUAGUCUUUUAUGGAUGAGAUGGCAAGGUUUGGAUCCUCAUGCAUGCAGCACAGUCCGGGGUGUCGCCCAGGAUGCGCCCACCCCUUUUUCUGCUGUUGCCUCUCAGAGUUUGUUUGUUUUUGCGCUUGCUUCCACUCGGUCUUCCCCACCCCCGCUCUCUCGCUGUUAUGCCGAUGGGCUGCAAAGGGCGAGCAGCACCAUCGUUGCUGCCCAACGCGUCUUUCUUGUUUUUCCUCUGCGGAUCGGUUCUUGCUUUCCAUUUCGCGGUCGUAGCCGAGUUGAAGGAAUAUGCGCGUUC
Molecule: unclassified non-coding RNA, 2153 nt
Filed under: Leishmania donovani
Lineage: Eukaryota; Euglenozoa; Kinetoplastea; Trypanosomatida; Trypanosomatidae
Description: gene:LdHU3.36.3200(CDS-product:Bardet-Biedl_syndr ome_4_protein_putative)
Source: RNAcentral